CCUACGGGUGGCAGCAGUGGGGAAUAUUGGACAAUGGGCGAAAGCCUGAUCCAGCCAUGCCGCGUGAGUGAUGAAGGCCUUAGGGUUGUAAAGCUCUUUUACCCGGGAAGAUAAUGACUGUACCGGGAGAAUAAGCCCCGGCUAACUUCGUGCCAGCAGCCGCGGUAAUACGAAGGGGGCUAGCGUUGUUCGGAAUCACUGGGCGUAAAGCGCUCGUAGGCGGAUCUUUAAGUCAGAGGUGAAAUCCCAAGGCUCAACCUUGGAACUGCCUUUGAUACUGGGGAUCUCGAGUCCGGGAGAGGUGAGUGGAACUGCGAGUGUAGAGGUGAAAUUCGUAGAUAUUCGCAAGAACACCAGUGGCGAAGGCGGCUCACUGGCCCGGUACUGACGCUGAGGAGCGAAAGCGUGGGGAGCAAACAGGAUUAGAUACCCUGGUAGUC
RNAcentral lists this ribosomal RNA (440 nucleotides) under uncultured Hyphomicrobiales bacterium. Its description in RNAcentral is "bacterial SSU rRNA". It matches the Rfam family "Bacterial small subunit ribosomal RNA", at positions 338 to 795 of the family's 1533-position model. The record is from RNAcentral. Lineage: Bacteria; Pseudomonadati; Pseudomonadota; Alphaproteobacteria; Hyphomicrobiales.